UUGGANUGGGGGCACCCUGAUCCAGCAAUGCCGCGUGAGUGAAGAAGGCCUUCGGGUUGUAAAGCUCUUUUGUCAGGGAAGAAACGGUUCUCUCUAAUACAGGGGGCUAAUGACGGUACCUGAAGAAUAAGCACCGGCUAACUACGUGCCAGCAGCCGCGGUAAUACGUAGGGUGCGAGCGUUAAUCGGAAUUACUGGGCGUAAAGCGUGCGCAGGCGGUUGUGUAAGACAGGUGUGAAAUCCCCGGGCUUAACCUGGGAAUGGCAUUUGUGACUGCACGGCUAGAGUGUGUCAGAGGGGGGUAGAAUUCCACGUGUAGCAGUGAAAUGCGUAGAUAUGUGGAGGAAUACCGAUGGCGAAGGCAGCCCCCUGGGAUAACACUGACGCUCAUGCACGAAAGCGUGGGGAGCAAACAGGAUUAGAUACCCUGGUAGUCCACGCCCUAAACGAUGUCAACUAGUUGUCGGGUCUUAAUUGACUUGGUAACGCAGCUAACGCGUGAAGUUGACCGCCUGGGGAGUACGGUCGCAAGAUUAAAACUCAAAAAAAUUGACGGA
RNAcentral lists this ribosomal RNA (557 nucleotides) under uncultured bacterium. RNAcentral describes it as "bacterial SSU rRNA". It matches the Rfam family "Bacterial small subunit ribosomal RNA", at positions 364 to 917 of the family's 1533-position model. The record is from RNAcentral.